CAGUGCAGGAGGUCUAAAACUUCAGUGCCCUGUGAUGCUCCCUCAAGACACGUUCCUGAUGGCUGACCUGAAAUUUCCUGACUUCUGUGCUAGGAGUUUUCUGCCAAAAAAUUCUGGAGACUACUGUCCACCCCAGGUGAUACGGGAAACAGCUGUAUGACUCAAACAGAGCACGGCAUUUCAACCCAGCACAAUAUCUGCAUAGGUGUGGGUGUGUGGCGGCGGCGGCGGCGGCGGCGGUGGCGGCAGUGGAGGAGGUGGAGGUGGCAGC
Peromyscus maniculatus bairdii (prairie deer mouse) is the source of this 271-nucleotide non-coding RNA. Lineage: Eukaryota; Metazoa; Chordata; Mammalia; Rodentia; Cricetidae. The record is from RefSeq and is a predicted model, not a curated record.